UUCUUAGUUUGUGUUUAUUAUUUUCAAAUGAUUGCCUUUGUGUUUCCUUAGGUUUGUUUCUAAUUCUUGCUAUAGAAGCUUGGUGUGGUGGAAGCAGAGGAAAGGAGCCCCCAGCUGCAAUUUCCUAAGCACUGGGCGGAGUAUGGGACCAGGGCUGCUCGGACCAGGGCUGCUUUUUUCCUCCAUGCAGAGCUAACAGCCUUUGAAAAAGGAUCAGACGUUUGCUCUUCCACCUAUGCUGUAGUCAACUCAGCUAAUUAAUUGAGAAAUUAUUAGCCCUGAGCUAACUACUGCCAAUCCUGCUCUUUUUGCUGAGGAAGACUGGCCCUGAGCUAACAUCUGUGCCCAUCUUCCUCUACUUUAUUCGUGGGACACCUGCCACAGCAUGGCUUGUCAUGCUGUGCCAUGUCUGCACCCGGGAUCCAAACCUGUGAACCCUGGGCUGCUGAAGCAGAAUGUGGGAACUUAUCCGCUGCACCACCGGGCUGGCCCUUGAAAUCACUAUCUUGAAGAGAUAUCUUCUUCCCCAUGUUCAUUGAAGCAUUAUUUACAAUACUGAAAUAAUCUAAAUGUCUGUCAAUGGAUGAAUGGAUAAAGAAGAUGUACUAUAUAUAAAUACAAUGGGAUAUUAUUCAGCCAUGAGAAGGAAGGAAAUCCUGCCCUUUGCAAUGACAUGGAUGAACCUUGAGGGCACUAUGCUCAGUGAAAUAAGUCAGACAGAGAAAGACAAAUACUGUGUGAUAUCACUUAUAUGUGGAAUCUAAAAAAGCCGAACUCACAAAAACAGAGAUUGGAAUGGUGGUUACCAGAGGCUGUGGGGUUGGGAGAAUUGGGGAUAUGUUGUUUAAGGGUAGAAUCUUGGAACUAGUAGAUAAAUAAGUCCUAGAGAUCUAAUGCACAGCAUAGUAAUUAUAGACAACAAUAGUGUAUCAUAAACCACAAAGUUGCUAUGAGACUGGAUCUUGAUCGUUCCCAGCACAAAGAAAUUAUGUGGUAGGAUAGAAGUAUUAGCUAAUGCUGCAGUGGUAAUCAUACUGUGGUAUAUAAAUAUAUCAAGUCAACACACUGUACAUCUUAAACUAACACAAUGCUGUAUGUC
Molecule: long non-coding RNA, 1099 nt
Filed under: Equus asinus (donkey)
Lineage: Eukaryota; Metazoa; Chordata; Mammalia; Perissodactyla; Equidae
Description: lncRNA (ENSEASG00005032399.1, ENSEASG00020008108.1)
Source: RNAcentral